UACAGAGGUCUCAAGCGUUGUUCGGAUUCAUUGGGCGUAAAGGGUGCGUAGGCGGCGCGGUAAGUCGGGUGUGAAAUCUCGGGGCUUAACUCCGAAACUGCAUUCGAUACUGCCGUGCUUGAGGACUGGAGAGGAGACUGGAAUUUACGGUGUAGCAGUGAAAUGCGUAGAGAUCGUAAGGAAGACCAGUAGCGAAGGCGAGUCUCUGGACAGUUGCUGACGCUGAGGCACGAAGGCCAGGGGAGCAAACGGG
This 253-nucleotide ribosomal RNA is filed under the name uncultured bacterium. Its description in RNAcentral is "partial 16S ribosomal RNA". It matches the Rfam family "Bacterial small subunit ribosomal RNA", at positions 524 to 776 of the family's 1533-position model. The record is from RNAcentral.